CUUGGUCAUUUAGAGGAAGUAAAAGUCGUAACAAGGUUUCCGUAGGUGAACCUGCGGAAGGAUCAUUAAAAAAAAGAGAAACGUCCCGUUUUUUUCAUAAGAAUGGGUUCUAUUCCCUUAAACCGUGUCUACAUACCUUUGUUGCUUUGGCAGGCCGCCUUUGGGCGUCGGCUCCGGCUGAUAGUGCCUGCCAGAGGACCCAAACUCUAUGUUUAGUGAUGUCUGAGUACUAUAUAAUAUUUAAAACUUUCAACAACGGAUCUCUUGGUUCUGGCAUCGAUGAAGAACGCAGCGAAAUGCGAUAAGUAAUGUGAAUUGCAGAAUUCAGUGAAUCAUCGAAUCUUUGAACGCACAUUGCGCCCUCUGGUAUUCCGGGGGGCAUGCCUGUUCGAGCGUCAUUACAACCCUCAAGCUCUGCUUGGUAUUGGGCGUCACCCUCUGGGGUGCGCCUUAAAAUCAGUGGCGGUGCCACUCGGCUUCAAGCGUAGUAAUUCUUCUCGCUCUGGAGGACCGGGUGUGUGCUAGCCAGCAACCCCCAAUUUUUUAAGGUUGACCUCGGAUCAGGUAGGGAUACCCGCUGAACUUAAGCAUAUCAAUAAGCGGAGGAAAAGAAACCAACAGGGAUUGCCUCAGUAACGGCGAGUGAAGCGGCAAUAGCUCAAAUUUGAAAUCUGGCCUCACGGUCCGAGUUGUAAUUUGUAGAGGAUGUUUCGAGCGUGGUCCAGUCUAAGUUCCUUGGAACAGGACGUCAUAGAGGGUGAGAAUCCCGUAUGUGACUGGGUGCCUAAGCUCAUGUGAAACUCCUUCGACGAGUCGAGUUGUUUGGGAAUGCAGCUCAAAAUGGGUGGUAAAUUUCAUCUAAAGCUAAAUACUGGCCAGAGACCGAUAGCGCACAAGUAGAGUGAUCGAAAGAUGAAAAGCACUUUGGAAAGAGAGUUAAACAGUACGUGAAAUUGUUGAAAGGGAAGCGCUUGCAACCAGACUUGCACGUAGUCGAUCAUCCGAUGUUCUCACCGGUGCACUCGAUUGCGUUCAGGCCAGCAUCGGUUUUGGUGGUUGGAUAAAGGCUGUGGGAAUGUAGCUUCUUUCGGGGAGUGUUAUAGCCCGCGGUGUAAUGCAGCCUACUGGGACCGAGGACCGCGCUUCGGCUAGGAUGCUGGCGUAAUGGUUGUAAGCGACCCGUCUUGAAACACGGACC
This 1198-nucleotide ribosomal RNA is filed under the name uncultured fungus. RNAcentral's name for it is "eukaryotic LSU rRNA". The stretch from base 551 to 1198 matches the Rfam family "Eukaryotic large subunit ribosomal RNA", at positions 1 to 667 of the family's 3401-position model. The record is from RNAcentral. Lineage: Eukaryota; Fungi.